UAGGAGUUUUUCUGUUUCGAGUCUUCCUAGAUCUGCAUUAACUAUCACAGGUCGUUCAAGUUCUAAGUCUAGGAAUUCAUAUCUCAGAUUUUUGGGAAGUGUUUUCAAAUCAGGGGUUGGUUUGUUAAGACACUGCGUAGGGUCCGGUGUUAUUGCUAAGCAUUGGUUAGAUUUGUCCUCUAAAAGAUAGUCUGAUGAUUUGUCUUCUCCUGACUCUGCUUCUUUUAUGCAUUCAUCGAUGAUAUCCAUGAAGUAAC
Molecule: long non-coding RNA, 257 nt
Filed under: Lathyrus oleraceus (garden pea)
Lineage: Eukaryota; Viridiplantae; Streptophyta; Magnoliopsida; Fabales; Fabaceae
Description: Pisum sativum (pea) long non-coding RNA (PSAT_LNC012963)
Source: RNAcentral